AUGUGGGAGUCUCUCGCACAACCAAAGAUUAAAGGAGGGAUAGGCUUCCGAGAUUUACAGAUGUUCAACUUAGCACUCCUUGGUAAACAUGGAUGGAGGCUAAUGACAGAACCCAACUCCUUGUGUGCUCGAGUAUUAAAAGGAAGAUACUCCCCCAACUGUGAUUUUAUGCAUGCCGGUGCACCCAAAAGCGCGUCGGCGACAUGGCGGGCAAUCAUAGCAGGG
Molecule: ribosomal RNA, 225 nt
Filed under: Triticum aestivum (bread wheat)
Lineage: Eukaryota; Viridiplantae; Streptophyta; Magnoliopsida; Poales; Poaceae
Description: partial small subunit ribosomal RNA
Source: RNAcentral